UACGGAGGGUGCAAGCGUUAUCCGGAUUCACUGGGGUUAAAGGGUGCGUAGGUGGAGUGGUAAGUCAGUGGUGAAAUCUCCAAGCUUAACUUGGAAAGUGCCGUUGAUACUAUCAUUCUUGAAUAUCGUGGAGGUAAGCGGAAUAUGUCAUGUAGCGGUGAAAUGCUUAGAUAUGACAUAGAACACCGAUUGCGAAGGCAGCUUGCUACACCAUCAUUGACACUGAGGCACGAAAGCGUGGGGAGCAAACAGG
This 253-nucleotide ribosomal RNA is filed under the name uncultured bacterium. Its description in RNAcentral is "partial 16S ribosomal RNA". It matches the Rfam family "Bacterial small subunit ribosomal RNA", at positions 524 to 776 of the family's 1533-position model. The record is from RNAcentral.